This 734-nucleotide ribosomal RNA is filed under the name uncultured Verrucomicrobiota bacterium. RNAcentral describes it as "bacterial SSU rRNA". It matches the Rfam family "Bacterial small subunit ribosomal RNA", at positions 55 to 762 of the family's 1533-position model. Lineage: Bacteria; Pseudomonadati; Verrucomicrobiota. The record is from RNAcentral.
AUGCAAGUCGAACGAUUACUGUUGGGUAGCAAUAUUCGGCAGUGAGAGUGGCGCAAGGGUGCGUAACACGUGGGUAAUUUGCCGUGAAGUCUGGGAUAACUUGCUGAAAGGCGAGCUAAUACCGGAUGUGAUUUCUGGAAGGCAUCUUCUAGAACUUAAAGUCGGGGACCGCAAGGCCUGACGCUUCUCGAUAAGCCCGCGGCCUAUCAGCUAGUUGGUGAGGUAACGGCUCACCAAGGCUAAGACGGGUAGCUGGUCUGAGAGGACGACCAGCCACACUGGAACUGAGACACGGUCCAGACACCUACGGGUGGCAGCAGUCGAGAAUUUUUCUCAAUGGGGGAAACCCUGAAGGAGCGACGCCGCGUGGGGGAUGAAUGGCUUCGGCCCGUAAACCCCUGUCAUUUGCGAUCAAACCUCACGACUUAACACGUCGUGAGCUGAUAGUAGCGGAAGAGGAAGGGACGGCUAACUCUGUGCCAGCAGCCGCGGUAAUACAGAGGUCCCAAGCGUUGUUCGGAUUCACUGGGCGUAAAGGGUGCGUAGGCGGUCGGGUAAGUCUGACGUGAAAUCUUCAAGCUCAACUUGGAAACUGCGUCGGAUACUAUUCGGCUAGAGGAAUGGAGGGGAGACUGGAAUACUUGGUGUAGCAGUGAAAUGCGUAGAUAUCAUGUGGAACACCAGUGGCGAAGGCGAGUCUCUGGACAUUUCCUGACGCUGAGGCACGAAAGCCA